This 132-nucleotide ribosomal RNA is filed under the name Luciogobius sp. 'ichimonji-mimizu-haze'. RNAcentral describes it as "partial 12S ribosomal RNA". Lineage: Eukaryota; Metazoa; Chordata; Actinopteri; Gobiiformes; Gobiidae. The record is from RNAcentral.
CCGGCGUAAAAUGUGGUUAACAUAUUAUCACACUAAAGCUAAACAUCUUCAAAGCUGUUAUACCCACACGAAGACAGGAAAACCUUCUACGAAAGUGGCUUUAAAUAAUGCUAACCCACGAAAACUAGGAAA